AUACGGAGGGUGCGAGCGUUAAUCGGAAUUACUGGGCGUAAAGCGUACGUAGGCGGUUUGCUAAGUCAGAUGUGAAAGCCCCGGGCUUAACCUGGGAACUGCAUUUGAUACUGGCAGACUAGAGUAUGAUAGAGGGGGGUAGAAUUCCUGGUGUAGCGGUGAAAUGCGUAGAUAUCAGGAGGAAUACCAGUGGCGAAGGCGGCCCCCUGGACCAAUACUGACGCUGAGGUACGAAAGCGUGGGGAGCGAACAGGAUUAGAAACCCUAGUAGUCC
RNAcentral lists this ribosomal RNA (274 nucleotides) under uncultured bacterium. RNAcentral describes it as "partial 16S ribosomal RNA". It matches the Rfam family "Bacterial small subunit ribosomal RNA", at positions 523 to 796 of the family's 1533-position model. The record is from RNAcentral.